ACUCCUACGGGAGGCAGCAGUGGGGAAUAUUGGACAAUGGGCGCAAGCCUGAUCCAGCCAUGCCGCGUGAGUGAUGAAGGCCUUAGGGUUGUAAAGCUCUUUUGUCCGGGACGAUAAUGACGGUACCGGAAGAAUAAGCCCCGGCUAACUUCGUGCCAGCAGCCGCGGUAAUACGAAGGGGGCUAGCGUUGCUCGGAAUCACUGGGCGUAAAGGGCGCGUAGGCGGCCUUGUAAGUUGGGGGUGAAAGCCCGUGGCUCAACCACGGAAUUGCCUUCGAUACUGCUUGGCUUGAGUGUGGUAGAGGUUGGUGGAACUGCGAGUGUAGAGGUGAAAUUCGUAGAUAUUCGCAAGAA
Molecule: ribosomal RNA, 354 nt
Filed under: uncultured bacterium
Lineage: Bacteria
Description: bacterial SSU rRNA
Rfam family: Bacterial small subunit ribosomal RNA
Source: RNAcentral